This is a long non-coding RNA of Canis lupus familiaris (dog), 5821 nucleotides long. RefSeq lists it as uncharacterized. The transcript has 3 exons. The record is from RefSeq and is a predicted model, not a curated record. NCBI's taxonomy places the organism in Eukaryota, Metazoa, Chordata, Mammalia, Carnivora, Canidae.
GCCGCGCCUGCGCUCUCUGUUUCCUCUCGCCCUCCCUCCGGAUCCGUGUGUCCGCGUCCUUUCCCGUAUCGCGAGGCUUCCGUGUUGCGUACACCUGCUUGCGAGCGGCGAGGAAAGUGGCAGUGGAGCGACGGAUCUUUUGGCCUCUUUUCCUUUUUGCAAGAAGUAGAUGAUCCUCUCCUCUUGUUAGGCUGUCGCAUUUCAAAGGGCUUAGGUGUGCGUUCGUUCCCCCUCUGGCGCCCACGUCGCUGGGAUAGUCUUUGUCCAUGGCCAUUCAUCUUUUGUGAAGAGUCCGCGCAAGACCUUUGCCCACGUUUUAUUCGUGUUCGUCUUACUAUUGAAUGCGGGAGUUCCGAGUACAAAUGUGUUGUCAAACAGGUGACAUAUGUAUGCUCUAAAUGCAGAUCUUUUGUCCUAUGUAAUUCCGAAUGUUUUCUCCGGAGCUGGGUCGUUUUCAUUGUUUUGAUGAUGGUUUGUGCAAAGCAGAUUUCAAUUUCAGUGAAGUUACUUAGUUUUCACGUGUGGUUUGUGCUUUUUCUGUGCUAGGAAGUCUGUACUUACCCCAACCGCUUGAAGACUUUCUCCCGGAUUUUCUUCUAGAAUGUUUACAUCUCUCUGGGCCAAGCCACUAUCCUUGCUUAGACUAUUGUAUUGAACAAGUCUAUUCCCCACAUGGCAACAUAACUGACACGUCUACCUGAGAUUUGCAAUGAGCAUAACUCAAGUUUUGAAGAUGGUGCCACGUCUGAAUCUAGACUUCACAAUGUGCUGUGUGGCCUUGGGCAGGUAAGCAACUUCCCUGAGAGCUUCAUGGGCAAUCCAUCACCCAAGACUCCCAGUUCAGGGCGGUUGCUGUAUCAUGGUUUCAGCCUACACCAAAAGUAGAGGUGGGGAGGGUACUUACUGGACGCACUCAUUCGCCCGGCCUUUGUUCUGAUACUCCACGAUACAGCGGAUGAGUUGGUCAUUCUCCUCCAAGAGCUGAAAGGCCAGAGAAGGGGGCCAGUCAGCGUGUGAACGGGACAGCCGGGAACACUCCCCGCACCGCUCCCACCCCGACCCCCGCUGUCUCCAAUGCCGAGCUGUCCCGCCCCAGUGCCUUUGCCGACUCCGUUCCCGUCUCACUCCACACCCCUGCAAGUCGACCCCCUACGCACGCCACAAGCCUGAGCUGAGAUGCUGCUCCCUCCAGGAAGCUUCCCUCGGGAUCUCGACUAAGGAACGUGUCUCUGCCCGCGCUUAGCGCUCACCCGCUGGAUCGUCUCCUGGUUGACUUCCGCCUUGCCUUUCAGCCAGUCCGGUACGAAGGCCACCGACAUCCCGGAAAGCCGGGUGGGACCCCGGCCUCAGGCCCCGCGCACCCCCACGCCUGGAGCCAACCAGCAGCCCAGCCCCAGCCCCAGCCCCACUAGGCCACGGCGGGACCGACCCACGCUCUCGACGUCGAUUGGGUCCUCCCGUGGACCGGGCCCGGGCGCAACGUCAUUCGUGAUUGGGCGCGCCAGGGCGAUGCUCGGAGCGUCAGCCUGCGCCCCGCCCCUGGGGCGCGGAGCCGCCUGCCCCUGCGGGGCUUGUGCGCAGUCAGCGGGGCUAGCCUCGGGGGCGGGGCCGUGCGUCAGGGCCGCCUGCCCGGGUCACGGGGGCUUCGUGGCCGCAACCCGCUUUCGGUCUCCGAGUCUACGCCUCCCUCUUUCGACAUCACUGCGGUUCCAACAGAUCUGCGUCUGGAGCAUGAACCCUAGCCUUUGCCUCCUGCCAAGCCAAACCCUGCAGGGCCUAGGAAAACACUGGUGUUAGCUUUACUCUUUGCAGAGGGAGAAACUCGCAUACAUACCUAUUUUUCCUCUGGGUAGUAAUAAUGCUUAUUAGGUUUACAACCCUAGAAGGCACUAUUAUUUUCUCCAUUUUACAGACGAGAAAACAGGUGAAGUAACCUGCCUAAGAUCUAACGGCAAUUAAGGGCAAAGCUGGUAUCUGUACACAGGGAGUAUGGCUUUUUUAGAACCCUUGUUCUUUUUUUUUCUAUAAUCUUUUAUUUAUUUAUUUAUUCAUGAGAGACUCACAGAGGCAGAGACACAGGCACAGGGAGAAGCAGGCUCCCUGCAAGGAACCCAAUGCAAGACUCGAUCCUGCACCCCAGGUUCAUGACCUGAGCCAAAGGCAGAGGCUCAGCCACUGAACCACCCAGGUGCCCCUAGAAUCUUCAGUCUUAGCUAUUACUCCAUACUGCCCACGCAACAUACUGCAGAGGUGGUUUGCUGCAAGAGAAAAGAAGGAAGCUGGGCCCACCCACGUAGGCCAUAUAGUUAGUACCAGCAACCACCGAAACUCUGAAGUGGUUGUCUUCUCUCUGGUUUAGCCCAUCCCUUAAGGACCUGGGAACAAGGUUGGUUUUCCUUGCAGCACAGAAUGAGCGGCAGCCACAUCAUUUGGAAGACCUUGGAAAAAUUUUCUCAAAAAAGAUCUGGGGCAAUUCUUCCCCAGAGCUUCAUUUCCCUGAGUGGUGACCCUGACCCAGAGCACUCUCAUCUACUUUUGCUGGGCUCUCCCUCCACAGUCCCCUUAUUCAACCCUGAGAGGAGGCAGCUUUCAUCCCAUUUCACAGCUUUCAUACCAGUGAGAAACAUGGGGCAACAUACCUAAACUGGGCGAAGACUUUAGGGCUUCCUGAUUCCGAAGCCUGUCUUCACAAACCAGUCUCCCUCCCCAGGAAAAGUCCCCAGAGGUUCUGCAGAAAGCAGAGUGGGGCAGAGAAGGAUCAUUAGGAGGAGAAUUUAGGCCCUGCUUAGUCCUAUGCAGUGCUAUUGUUACACAAAUGAGGAAGGACCAUAACAGAGAUGAUGUAAAGAUUUUUAUUUAUUUAUUCAUGAGAGACACAGAGAGAGACAGAGACAUAGGCAGAGGGAGAAGCAGGCUCCCUUUGGGGAGCUGAUGUGGGACUUGAUCCUGGGACUCCACAAUCACGCCCUGAGCUGAAGGCAGACACUCAACCAUUGAGCCACACAGGUGUCCCCAGAGACGGAGUUAAGUUGGGGCAAGUGUAGGGGACCACCCUACCAACCUGGUCCAGCAUGCAGGGAACGCCCUCCAGGAGAAUAGACGUUUCAGUAUGAAGAGGAAGUGGAGGUUACCCAGGUGACAAGUAUCCAGAGCCCGGGCUCUCUCCUUAGAAUAAUCAGAGCCAUAGAUGGUUUUAGGCAAAAGGAAAAUGAAGUCAGAGAUGCAUUUUAGAGUUUUCCUGGCUGUAGUAUGGUGAAAGGUAGGGCAGCCAGACAAGAAGAAGAAAGGAGAAUCAAACAAACACAGAGAGGGCUAUUUGCAGCAGAUGUGUAGGCCAGAAAUGGUGGGAGCAGUGAAAAAAAGAAAUCUGUGCAUUUGAAAGACAUGAGGAAUAGACUCCACAGGCCCUUAGUGAAUUAAUGGGGGAGGGAGAGAGGAAUAAUUAGGGAUGACUUCUGGUGUCCUGGCUUAACCAACUGAGAGACUGGUAAUGCCAUUUAUUCAGACAAGGAACAGUAAAGGAGAAGCUGGACUGGAAGUGAGAGUGAGAAAGUUAGCCUUGACCAUAUACAUGCAAGGUGGUCAAAUGGAGAGGCAAGGCUGGCUAUUUGGGUCUGGAACUCAGGGUCAAGGGCCGGUUUGGUGAUAAAAGCAUCACUUUGAGAAGCAUCACUUGUGGAAACUGACUGGAACCGUGCAGGGGAUAAGACUACUCAAGGAGAGUGAGUUGGCUUCUCUCCUGGCCAAGGAAAAGAAACUACAAAGGAGAAUGGGGGCGGGGGGGGGGAGACUAGAGAUAUAAGAGGAAAUCCGGGAGCGUGGAGGGGUAGAGGCGAGACAGUCAUAUGGGAAAUAAGAGUGAGUAGGAAAGCAAGAUAGAACAGCAAUUACAAAUGCUGUGGAAAGGUCAAUCAAGGUAGAGACUAGGUCUUUGAUAUCCUUAAUGGAGGAAAUUCCAGCGAUAUGUCGAGGCAGCAGUGAGAAUUGUCAGGGACAGUGAAAUACAGGAAAGGUGAAGCAAAUGGAAUCUUUAGAGCAGGCCACUCUUUCCGAGAAGUUUGACUGUGAAGGGGAAAAGGGAACAAAGGUGGUAGUUGGGAGGGACAGAAGUUGGUGCAAGCUGAGGGCUAUCCCUUUAAUGGUUGUUCUUUUCUUGGUGAAAAAGGCACCUGGGAAAGUGAGGGGGAUGUUGAAGAGUGGAAGAUUGGGGAAGCAUGCAGGAGAUUUUGAGGUUGGUAUUCUGGAGAAUUGGAGAGAGGCAAACAUAGGACUGCUGGACAGUGUUGAGGACCUGGUGGAGGUGGGCAAUGCAUAUACAUAGCACUGAUCUGUGUGGUUGUAAGAUUUUUUUUUUUUCCAGCAGUACUUAUAGCUCAGGAACAGAGUUAGAGAAACCCAGAAGGUUGGAUUUUUUUUCCCCAGAGUUGGAGACCUGCCAGGCAGGUGUGACAGAAGAAUAAUUGCAGAAUGGAGGUAAGCAUAUUGGGAAAAAGGUGAUGGAAGUGAUAAACCUUGGACUUUCAGCUGAUGGGGAAGGAAAUAAAGAUUGGGGAGAGGUGAUACAUUGAACAAAGUAAGAAGGACAAGUGGAGUGGAGGCUUCUGCAGGCCAGAGAACAGUGGGCAGAUUUCUGAGAACAGUCAAGGGACAGAGAUCAGGUGUCUGCAUUUACAACUUCAAACGUGGAGCUCUUCUAUGGUGAUAAGCAGUUCAGGAUGUGAUCCUGAAGUGGAGGGAUGAAGAAGCCUGGGAAAGUCAAAAUGACCAGUGAUGGAGAGGAGGGCUAGGACUUCAGAUUCUACAUCUUACCUUUUAGCCCAGUCCACUCUGGUGCCCCAGUCACAUGAGCUGCACCAAUCAGAAGGCACAAAGCCCUAUUAUAAAGCACUCAAACUGUAGAUUCUGAGAACCCGGGGCUCCAUAUUCAAAAGCUGUAGGUCUGGUGCCAAUUUUUCCUUCCUCAUUCCAAGCCAGAGCCUUGUUUUCAUGACCGUGGUGAGAAGACCUCAUCUCCAUUCACGUGUGAAUGCACCUUGAGAGGGAAUCCUAGCCUCUUUCCUGGCACAUACAAUGAAGGGGUUUCAAUCUCCUUUACCAAUCAAAUCUCAUUGUUUUUAUCCUUUGUGUCUCUUAUGAUCUAGCCUCAUGAUCAUUUGUCACACAGGCCAACCCUGACUCAGUGGCGAUCCCUGGAGGUCAACUCUGUCAUAGCUCUCUUCUGUUUUCAUUUUGUAAUUUUUCUCUAUGUGAGGUCUGCUUCAAUUUCUGCCCAUUUGGUGAUGAUUUUCAAAAGUCUAUGUCCAGCCCAGACCUGUACAUGGAAUGCCAACCUGUAUGUUCGACUGUGUACAAUGACAUCCCAACCAGAAGUGUCAAAGGGUGCCUCAAAUUCAGUUUGUCUUAGAUGGAACUAGUGAUCAUUCGUCUCUCCAAAAUCAGAUCCUUUUCCAGCGUUCUUUAUAUCCAUGAAUCCCUCCACUUUCUACCCAGUCACUCAAGGCUGAACAGUGGCAUUGUCCUUGAAGCUACUUUGUUACCGUUUCACAUCCAGAUCAUCACCAAGUCUUGUUGAUUUUUCUCCUCUAUGUCUCUGCAGACUGCCUAGUUCUCACCCUCUUCACCAUCGCUCGGGUCUAAGUCCAAGCUCCAACUUCAUCCUCUCAUGCCCAGAUGGCUGCAUUGGCUUCCCAGCUCUCCUAUCAGAGAGAUAGGAGAUAGGUGGUCUUAGCUCUUCUAUUCUCUCUAGUGGCUCUCACCAUAUUCCUUACUCUCUAAACUCUGAGUUUUUUUAUCUUUCUUGUCUUUUUCUUCUUUGUGGUAA